CCUACGGGAGGCAGCAGUGAGGAAUAUUGGUCAAUGGGCGGGAGCCUGAACCAGCCAAGCCGCGUGAGGGAAGAAGGUACAGCGUAUCGUAAACCUCUUUUGUCAGGGAACAAAGGCGGGGACUAGUCCCCGGAUGAGGGUACCUGAAGAAAAAGCAUCGGCUAACUCCGUGCCAGCAGCCGCGGUAAUACGGAGGAUGCGAGCGUUAUCCGGAUUUAUUGGGCUUAAAGGGAGCGUAGGCGGGCGUUCAAGUCAGCGGUGAAAUCGCGCGGCUCAACCGCGCCCCGCAGUUGAAACUGGGCGCCUUGAGUUCACAGCAGGCAGGCGGAAUUCGUGGUGUAGCGGUGAAAUGCAGAGAUAUCACGAGGAACCCCGAUUGCGAAGGCGGCCUGCCGGGGUGCGACUGACGCUGAGGCUCGAAGGUGCGGGUAUCAAACAGGAUUAGAUACCCCAGUAGUC
RNAcentral lists this ribosomal RNA (459 nucleotides) under uncultured bacterium. Its description in RNAcentral is "partial 16S ribosomal RNA". It matches the Rfam family "Bacterial small subunit ribosomal RNA", at positions 338 to 795 of the family's 1533-position model. The record is from RNAcentral.